This 492-nucleotide ribosomal RNA is filed under the name uncultured bacterium. RNAcentral describes it as "partial 16S ribosomal RNA". It matches the Rfam family "Bacterial small subunit ribosomal RNA", at positions 29 to 507 of the family's 1533-position model. The record is from RNAcentral.
AGUGAACGCUGGCGGCAGGCCUAACACAUGCAAGUCGAACGGCAGCACCGUAAGUGCUUGCGCAUACGGGUGGGGAGUGGCGGACGGGGGCGAUAUACAUCGGAAUCUACUUUUUAGUGGGGGCUAACGCGGGGAAAAUUACGCUAAUCCCGCAUACGACGAACGGGUGAGAGCAGGGGAUCUUUGGACAUUGCGCGAGUGAAUGAGCCGAUGUCGGAUUGGCUAGGUGGAGGGGUAAAGGCGCAACGAGGCGACGAUCCGUAGCUGGUCUGAGCGGAUGAUCAGCCACACUGGAACUGAGACACGGUCCAGACUCCUACGGGAGGCAGCAGUGGGGAAUAUUGGACAAUGGGCGCAAGCCUGAUCCAGCCAUACCGCGUGUGUGAAGAAGGCCUUCGGAUUGUAAAGCCCUUUUGUUGGGAAAGAAGAGCAGCAGGUUAAUACCCCGCUGUUCUGACGGUACCCAAAGAAUAAGCACCGGCUAACUUCGUG